Molecule: ribosomal RNA, 459 nt
Filed under: uncultured bacterium
Lineage: Bacteria
Description: partial 16S ribosomal RNA
Rfam family: Bacterial small subunit ribosomal RNA
Source: RNAcentral
CCUACGGGAGGCAGCAGUGAGGAAUAUUGGUCAAUGGGCGCGAGCCUGAACCAGCCAAGUCGCGUGAGGGAAGACGGUCCUAUGGAUUGUAAACCUCUUUUGUCGGGGAGCAAAAGACGCCACGCGUGGCGUUCCGAGAGUACACGUAGAAACAGCAUCGGCUAACUCCGUGCCAGCAGCCGCGGUAAUCCGGAGGAUGCGAGCGUUAUCCGGAUUUAUUGGGUUUAAGUGGUGCGCGGGCGGAAGUUCAAGUCAGCGGUAAAAUUGAGAGCCUCAACGUCUUAGCGCCGUUGAAACUGGUAUGCUUGAGUGAGUGAGAAGUAUGCGGAAUGCGUGGUGUAGCGGUGAAAUGCAUAGAUAUCACGCAGAACCCCGAUUGCGAAGGCAGCUUGCUGCAGCGGAACUGACGCUGAUGCUCGAAAGCGCGGGUAUCGAACAGGAUUAGAUACCCUUGUAGUC